Molecule: ribosomal RNA, 536 nt
Filed under: Bifidobacterium longum subsp. infantis
Lineage: Bacteria; Bacillati; Actinomycetota; Actinomycetes; Bifidobacteriales; Bifidobacteriaceae
Also listed under: 2 other names
Description: bacterial SSU rRNA
Rfam family: Bacterial small subunit ribosomal RNA
Source: RNAcentral
CUCCUGGAAACGGGUGGUAAUGCCGGAUGCUCCAGUUGAUCGCAUGGUCUUCUGGGAAAGCUUUCGCGGUAUGGGAUGGGGUCGCGUCCUAUCAGCUUGACGGCGGGGUAACGGCCCACCGUGGCUUCGACGGGUAGCCGGCCUGAGAGGGCGACCGGCCACAUUGGGACUGAGAUACGGCCCAGACUCCUACGGGAGGCAGCAGUGGGGAAUAUUGCACAAUGGGCGCAAGCCUGAUGCAGCGACGCCGCGUGAGGGAUGGAGGCCUUCGGGUUGUAAACCUCUUUUAUCGGGGAGCAAGCGAGAGUGAGUUUACCCGUUGAAUAAGCACCGGCUAACUACGUGCCAGCAGCCGCGGUAAUACGUAGGGUGCAAGCGUUAUCCGGAAUUAUUGGGCGUAAAGGGCUCGUAGGCGGUUCGUCGCGUCCGGUGUGAAAGUCCAUCGCUUAACGGUGGAUCCGCGCCGGGUACGGGCGGGCUUGAGUGCGGUAGGGGAGACUGGAAUUCCCGGUGUAACGGUGGAAUGUGUAGAUAUC